CGCAAUGCUCUUCUGAAAUGCUAGCUUC
This 28-nucleotide non-coding RNA is filed under the name Mus musculus (house mouse). The record is from RNAcentral. Lineage: Eukaryota; Metazoa; Chordata; Mammalia; Rodentia; Muridae.